Non-coding RNA from Haemophilus pittmaniae HK 85, 147 nucleotides. The record is from Rfam. NCBI's taxonomy places the organism in Bacteria, Pseudomonadati, Pseudomonadota, Gammaproteobacteria, Pasteurellales, Pasteurellaceae.
UUUAUAGCAUAACUCCGAGCUUGUUUAGCCUAAGUUUCCUGUAUUGGAAAUAUGGCGGCAACGCCAAUAACGAAGUUCGUUAUUCAGGGAUACGUCGGAAACGGUUUAUCCUCUCCAUUUUUAGAAAGGUGUGACAUGCAAUCUAUC